Molecule: ribosomal RNA, 459 nt
Filed under: uncultured bacterium
Lineage: Bacteria
Description: partial 16S ribosomal RNA
Rfam family: Bacterial small subunit ribosomal RNA
Source: RNAcentral
CCUACGGGAGGCAGCAGUGAGGAAUAUUGGUCAAUGGUCGGGAGACUGAACCAGCCAAGCCGCGUGAGGGAUGAAGGUACAGAGUAUUGUAAACCUCUUUUGUCAGGGAACAAAGGCGGGGACGUGUCCCCGGAUGAGUGUACCUGAAGACAAAGCAUCGGCUAACUCCGUGCCAGCAGCCGCGGUAAUACGGAGGAUGCGAGCGUUAUCCGGAUUUAUUGGGUUUAAAGGGUGCGCAGGCGGUCUGUCAAGUCAGCGGUAAAAUCCCGGGGCUCAACCCCGGCCCGCCGUUGAAACUGGCAGCCUCGAGUUGGCGAGAAGUAGGCGGAAUGCGCGGUGUAGCGGUGAAAUGCAUAGAUCUCGCGCAGAACUCCGAUUGCGAAGGCAGCAUGCCGGCGCCACACUGACGCUGAGGCACGAAAGCGUGGGUAUCGAACAGGAUUAGAUACCCCGGUAGUC